This 182-nucleotide ribosomal RNA is filed under the name uncultured bacterium. Its description in RNAcentral is "partial 16S ribosomal RNA". It matches the Rfam family "Bacterial small subunit ribosomal RNA", at positions 1319 to 1500 of the family's 1533-position model. The record is from RNAcentral.
CAUGAAGUCGGAAUUGCUAGUAAUCGCGGAUCGGCAUGCCGCGGUGAAUACGUUCCCGGGCCUUGUACACACCGCCCGUCACACCAUGGGAGCCGGUAAUACCCGAAGUCGGUAGUCUAACCGCAAGGAGGACGCCGCCGAAGGUGGGGUUGAUGAUUAGGGUUAAGUCGUAACAAGGUACC